RNAcentral lists this unclassified non-coding RNA (377 nucleotides) under uncultured Oligoflexales bacterium. RNAcentral's name for it is "contains 16S-23S intergenic spacer region". Lineage: Bacteria; Pseudomonadati; Bdellovibrionota; Oligoflexia; Oligoflexales. The record is from RNAcentral.
UCCGUCUUGACGACGGCAGUCUCUCUGGAGUGCCCAACUUAAUGAUGGCAACCAAAGACAAGGGUUGCGCUCGUUGCGGGACUUAACCCAACAUUUCACAACACGAGCUGACGACAGCCAUGCAGCACCUGUCUCUUUGUCUCUUGCGAGCCAUUAAUAUCUCUACUAAUUUCAAAGGAUGUCAAACCCAGGUAAGGUUCUUCGCGUUGCUUCGAAUUAAACCACAUGAUCCACCGCUUGUGCGGGCCCCCGUCAAUUCCUUUGAGUUUUAGUCUUGCGACCGUACUCCCCAGGCGGGAUACUUAUUGUGUUAACGUCGACACGGCGGGGGUCAAGACCCACCACGUCUAGUAUCCAUCGUUUACAGCGUGGACUAC